UCCCAGACUCCUACGGGAGGCAGCAGUGAGGAAUAUUGGUCAAUGGUCGGGAGACUGAACCAGCCAAGCCGCGUGAGGGAUGAAGGUACAGAGUAUCGUAAACCUCUUUUGUCAGGGAACAAAGGCGGGGACGUGUCCCCGGAUGAGUGUACCUGAAGAAAAAGCAUCGGCUAACUCCGUGCCAGCAGCCGCGGUAAUACGGAGGAUGCGAGCGUUAUCCGGAUUUAUUGGGUUUAAAGGGUGCGGAGGCGCCCUUGUAACUCGGGGGGAGACGCCCGGGGCCCCCCCCCGCGCCGCCGUUGAAACUGGCAGUCUCGAGUUGGAGAGAAGUAUGCGGAAUGCGCGGUGUAGCGGUGAAAUGCAUAGAUAUCGCGCAGAACUCCGAUUGCGAAGGCAGCAUGCCGGCUCCACACUGACGCUGAGGCACGAAAGCGUGGGUAUCGAACAGGAUUAGAUACCCGUGUAGU
RNAcentral lists this ribosomal RNA (467 nucleotides) under uncultured bacterium. RNAcentral's name for it is "bacterial SSU rRNA". It matches the Rfam family "Bacterial small subunit ribosomal RNA", at positions 329 to 794 of the family's 1533-position model. The record is from RNAcentral.